Cryptotermes secundus is the source of this 654-nucleotide RNA transcript. RefSeq lists it as uncharacterized. Lineage: Eukaryota; Metazoa; Arthropoda; Insecta; Blattodea; Kalotermitidae. The transcript has 4 exons. The record is from RefSeq and is a predicted model, not a curated record.
AUUUCAACUCAGGACCUCCUUGGUACGAAAUAGUAGAGGCACCACCUGGAGCGGAAUGCCCGAUCGUUGUAUCGUCAUAACGUCAAUGAAGCCCAUGGGAAUCUUGGCACAGUGCAGACGAGUUACUGUCGGCCACAAGAUCUACGCACAUCCUUAUCUGGCGUGAAAUUUAGCGGGACUCAACUCUGUACGAAACGUCCGCCGGUCCGAAACUCUGCGACUUACGGCAGCCAAGCUACUCAGCUGCACGUCCUUCCUACUGACUUCAUUUCUGAAGAUGGAGGCAGGAUGUCGGUUAAGUCCAUCACUCUCCGAACCAGGUUCACAUCUGACGCCUGAAAGUGUGGUACUCUUUUAGGCAGUCUCGUACACAUGCGCUGCCCGUGGCCUUCUGCAUCUCCCAGUCUUCUGUGCUAUGUUGGCUACUCCAAGUUGGUCUGCGCAGGCCCGUCGUUGCUUCGGAUGGAUUGCAGUCUCCUUCCUCAUCUGUCUUUCACCAUCACUGCUUCUUAAUGAUCUUCUGCCUGUCCCUCCGUGUUCUCCUCACACAUUCAAGAGGCAGUUUCCUGUGUCUCUGAGUCCAUAAUGUGUAUCUAUGCCGUGCUGGGGGCACGCGGUAGCGCAGUUGGUUGAGGAACUAUGCUACAAGCCGGA